GCCUGAUCUAUAUUAUCACAUGCCAGAUGACAUCAUAAUGACCCACCUUCCCAACUCUGAUUGUAACCCAUUAGUCAUCCCAUGCUCAGUCAUGACUGUAGGCGAUACAGACUGGACAUAAUUGUCAAGAGGAAGAAAGAAGAGAAGGAAUAGAAUCAAACCAGAGAGAAAUUUUGAAUAAUGAUUAAGCAUUUGCCAGAAAGAGAUGAAGUGACUGGCAACUGGCAUUUCAGACAGAAGGGGCACCCUGUGCAAAGACCUAGAGCAA
This is a long non-coding RNA of Gorilla gorilla gorilla (western lowland gorilla), 268 nucleotides long. RefSeq lists it as uncharacterized. The transcript is spliced from 3 exons. NCBI's taxonomy places the organism in Eukaryota, Metazoa, Chordata, Mammalia, Primates, Hominidae. The record is from RefSeq and is a predicted model, not a curated record.